This 1159-nucleotide long non-coding RNA is filed under the name Gossypium raimondii (Peruvian cotton). Its description in RNAcentral is "long non-coding RNA (GRAI_LNC002417)". Lineage: Eukaryota; Viridiplantae; Streptophyta; Magnoliopsida; Malvales; Malvaceae. The record is from RNAcentral.
GACAACCUUAUGGCAGAUUGUUGACCCUCUUCUCCUUUUCCUCUCUCUCUCCCUUCUUUUUUCCCUUUACUCUCUUUUCCCAUCUGCCUUCCUAUCAUCUUCUUUUCCUUUUCUUCGUUUUUGACAAAAUAACCUGGUCUCCCCAACUUCCACUCAGCUUUCAAUUACCGAAAAGAUGUAGAGACCCUCGACUUUCAUGUAGUCUUUCCACAACUUCUAUCCAAGACAUUACCUCAUUUUGCCUGGUUGGAAGCCUUCUCAACCUCGUUUUUGUUCAUUCUGGCAAGGAUGCUACACAGGGUGGAGCACCGUUGACCUUUAGCUUCGAAGGCUCGUGCAUGGUGGUGUUGAUCGAGCUGCUCCAAAUCUCUAUGAUUUGGAUGUUGAUGCCCUCUUGAAAACUCGAGAUUUACGGCAACCGGUGGCCCCGACAUGCUCCACGAUGUAAAUGGAAGCCCUUUUGGACCCUUCGCUAUUGAGUUCUCCUUGAUAACAGGCUUGUAGGUCGUGAGUACAACAACUGAGUAUAACAACUUGGGAUUGUGGUUCUCGUUUUCUCUCAUCAUCCCACUGCAGCUUACGACUACAAAUGGAAAGUGGUCGAACUAGGGUUUGUCUCCUCUCAAAAACUCGAGAUUUAUGGUGGUCGAUGGCCCAGACAUGCUCCACGAUGUAAAUGGUAGCCCUUUUGGACCCUUUGAUCUUGACUUCUCCUUGAUAACAGGCUUGUUGGUCGUGAGUACAACAACUUGGGAUUGUGGUUCUUGUUUUCUCUCAUCAUCCUAUUGCAGCUUACGACAACAAAUGGAAAGUGGUCGAACUAGGGUUUGUCUCCUCUCAAGUUGGGCUAGGCUAUUUUAGCCAUUGUACUUCUUAUUUUAUUUUCUUAGUGUGAGGUGUGCCGCGUAUUUUCGAUCGAAUAGAUGACAACGCUACAACGAGAAGCUUCCCAACGUUGCCAUGAUAGACGACAUCAUGACGACGUGAAUGGGGUUCCCACAUAAAUCGAGUUCCUUCUCCAGUUAAACUCUGUUAUCUUUUUCUAGUCAAACUCUGAUUACUCUAGGGAUAUUUUAGUAUAAUUUGACCUCUAAUCUUAGUCUAUUUAAGGGGGUGUUGUAUCUCUAUUUUGAGAGGUCAAUUAAAGAUGUACUACUAU